GGGGAUAUAGCUCAACUGGGAGAGCGCCGGCUUUGCAAGCCGGAGGUUGCCGGUUCGAUCCCGGCUAUCUCCACCA
Molecule: transfer RNA, 76 nt
Filed under: Candidatus Eiseniibacteriota bacterium
Lineage: Bacteria; Candidatus Eiseniibacteriota
Also listed under: 3 other names
Description: tRNA-Ala
Rfam family: tRNA
About the family: Transfer RNA (tRNA) molecules are approximately 80 nucleotides in length. Their secondary structure includes four short double-helical elements and three loops (D, anti-codon, and T loops).
Source: RNAcentral